UACGGGGGGGGCAAGCGUUGUUCGGAAUUACUGGGCGUAAAGGGCUCGUAGGUGGCCAACUAAGUCGGACGUGAAAUCCCUCGGCUUAACCGGGGAACUGCGUCCGAUACUGGUUGGCUUGAGUUUGGGAGAGGGAUGCGGAAUUCCUGGUGUAGCGGUGAAAUGCGCAGAUAUCAGGAGGAACACCGGUGGCGAAGGCGGAUCUCUGGGCCUUACCUGACGCUGAGGCGCGAAAGCUAGGGGAGCGAACAGG
RNAcentral lists this ribosomal RNA (253 nucleotides) under uncultured bacterium. Its description in RNAcentral is "partial 16S ribosomal RNA". It matches the Rfam family "Bacterial small subunit ribosomal RNA", at positions 524 to 776 of the family's 1533-position model. The record is from RNAcentral.